GACCAGGCUGAUCAGGGAAGCAGCUUUCAAAGCAUCCCCAGAACUGGGCUCCAAAUUCCUGCUGAAUCAGAAUCCCAGAAAGAAAAGCCCUGAAGUACCCCUUCGAAUCAGCUUGCGGAAAACUGUAACACAAAGGCUUUGUGGAUCACGUUUUAUACUUUUACUAUGUACUGUACACGCCAUUGUCAAGGGACUGCCUACUGUACAAUCUGCAGGGAAUGGGAAUGUGAGAAUGGGAUAGCUGCUCGCGCUUUCCCUUUGUUUUAAACCUUCUAAUCCU
This 280-nucleotide long non-coding RNA is filed under the name Lepisosteus oculatus (spotted gar). RNAcentral's name for it is "lncRNA (ENSLOCG00000021134.1)". Lineage: Eukaryota; Metazoa; Chordata; Actinopteri; Semionotiformes; Lepisosteidae. The record is from RNAcentral.